GACGAACGCUGGCGGCGUGCUUAACACAUGCAAGUCGAACGGAAAGGCCCUGCUUUUGUGGGGUGCUCGAGUGGCGAACGGGUGAGUAACACGUGAGUAACCUGCCCUUGACUUUGGGAUAACUUCAGGAAACUGGGGCUAAUACCGGAUAGGAUCUCCUGCUGCAUGGUGGGGGUUGGAAAGUUUCGGCGGUUGGGGAUGGACUCGCGGCUUAUCAGCUUGUUGGUUGGGUAGUGGCUUACCAAGGCUUUGACGGGUAGCCGGCCUGAGAGGGUGACCGGCCACAUUGGGACUGAGAUACGGCCCAGACUCCUACGGGAGGCAGCAGUGGGGAAUAUUGCACAAUGGGCGGAAGCCUGAUGCAGCAACGCCGCGUGCGGGAUGACGGCCUUCGGGUUGAGAACCGCUUUCGCCUGUGACGAAGCGUGAGUGACGGUAAUGGGUAAAGAAGCACCGGCUAACUACGUG
RNAcentral lists this ribosomal RNA (468 nucleotides) under uncultured bacterium. RNAcentral describes it as "partial 16S ribosomal RNA". It matches the Rfam family "Bacterial small subunit ribosomal RNA", at positions 28 to 507 of the family's 1533-position model. The record is from RNAcentral.